RNAcentral lists this ribosomal RNA (603 nucleotides) under uncultured bacterium. RNAcentral describes it as "bacterial SSU rRNA". The stretch from base 1 to 531 matches the Rfam family "Bacterial small subunit ribosomal RNA", at positions 338 to 873 of the family's 1533-position model. The record is from RNAcentral.
CCUACGGGAGGCAGCAGUAAGGAAUAUUGGUCAAUGGACGAAAGUCUGAACCAGCCAUGCCGCGUGAAGGAUUAAGGCCCUCUGGGUUGUAAACUUCUUUUAUCUGGGACGAAAAAAGGGUAUUCUUACUCACUUGACGGUACCAGAGGAAUAAGCACCGGCUAACUCCGUGCCAGCAGCCGCGGUAAUACGGAGGGUGCAAGCGUUAUCCGGAUUUACUGGGUUUAAAGGGUGCGUAGGUGGGUUUGUAAGUCAGUGGUGAAAUCUCCGAGCUUAACUCGGAAACUGCCAUUGAUACUAUAGAUCUUGAAUUAUCUGGAGGUAAGCGGAAUAUGUCAUGUAGCGGUGAAAUGCUUAGAUAUGACAUAGAACACCAAUUGCGAAGGCAGCUUACUACGGAUAUAUUGACACUGAGGCACGAAAGCGUGGGGAUCAAACAGGAUUAGAUACCCUGGUAGUCCACGCCCUAAACGAUGGAUACUCGACAUCAGCGAUACACUGUUGGUGUCUGAGNGAAGANAUAUAUCCACCNGGAGUAGANCGCAGAUAGUAAGUAAAGAAGUAGACGNGNGAGAGAGACGACGACGACGACGAGGGAGGAGG